Molecule: ribosomal RNA, 486 nt
Filed under: uncultured bacterium
Lineage: Bacteria
Description: partial 16S ribosomal RNA
Rfam family: Bacterial small subunit ribosomal RNA
Source: RNAcentral
AUUGAACGCUGGCGGCAUGCCUUACACAUGCAAGUCGAACGGCAGCACGGGUGCUUGCCCCUGGUGGCGAGUGGCGAACGGGUGAGUAAUACAUCGGAACAUGUCCUGUAGUGGGGGAUAGCCCGGCGAAAGCCGGAUUAAUACCGCAUACGAUCUACGGAUGAAAGCGGGGGACCUUCGGGCCUCGCGCUGUAGGGUUGGCCGAUGGCGGAUUAGCUAGUUGGUGGGGUAAAGGCCUACCAAGGCGACGAUCAGUAGCUGGUCUGAGAGGGCGACCAGCCACACUGGGACUGAGACACGGCCCAGACUCCUACGGGAGGCAGCAGUGGGGAAUUUUGGACAAUGGGCGAAAGCCUGAUCCAGCAAUGCCGCGUGUGUGAAGAAGGCCUUCGGGUUGUAAAGCACUUUUGUCCGGAAAGAAAUCCUUGGCCCUAAUACGGUCGGGGGAUGACGGUACCGGAAGAAUAAGCACCGGCUAACUACGUG